Molecule: long non-coding RNA, 883 nt
Organism: Globicephala melas (long-finned pilot whale)
Lineage: Eukaryota; Metazoa; Chordata; Mammalia; Artiodactyla; Delphinidae
Source: RefSeq, a predicted model, not a curated record
CCGACCGCCCCUGGCGGCCCAGGGCGGCCGGUGCCGAGUUCUGCGUCGCCUCGAAGUUAGUCGGGCGUGUCGAGCCCGCCAGGCCAGGCCAUUCGCUCCGCAUUGCCUCCCCAGCGGUACUCGGGCCUCCACUCGCUUCGCUGGCGUUAGCACAUUCUGUUUUGACCACACCCGGAAGACUUGGGAAGUGUUCCUCAUCCUUAGAGCUGUCUCUUCAAAAGUUAGUGUCCUUGCUGAUGCUCAAUCAGACUUCUGACCAUAAUUUCUUGUGUCGACUGUCUGCAAAGCACGGUACCUGGAGCUUUGAGGAAGGAGGGACUGGGGGUACAUUGCAUAAGGAGAAGGCUUUCAGUCUACCUCUACUUUCCGUGUGACCCUGGCUAACCUUCCUGAGCCUCAGUUUACUUCUGUAAAUGGGGACGGUAAUGGCCACCUGACUGUGUGCUGUUGAUUAAAUGAGCUAUGUAGCCACCUGAAUUAACAACCUAAAAAUGCUUUUGAUGCUGUGGAACUUGCCCACAAUAAAAACAAAAGAAAGAAAAGAAAUCCAGAUAGACUGGAAAAGACCUCAGGUCAGGAAAAGACCUCACUGAAGUCUGACUUCAGCACUACGAGUUCUCAGAUAUCAACCAAGUACUUAAUAAUGCGGGGAGGCUGUUGUUUUGACUUUGGUGGUGGAGAAAGAGCAUUUUGGAGGAGAAUGAUGUGAAUUAGGCUUUGAAGACCAGAAUUGUUCAGCUGCCUAGAAAAGGAACAAGAAGAAACAGAUGGUUGGCCUAACCAGGUCUGGAGAUUGACACGACAGUUGUGAACCAAGAUGAGUGAAAUAAGUCAUUAGGUUGCAGGUCCGGCGAGCACAGUGGGAAGAACUGUCCCUGAGAUU